RNAcentral lists this transfer RNA (76 nucleotides) under Rhodospirillaceae bacterium. RNAcentral describes it as "tRNA-Phe". It matches the Rfam family "tRNA". From Rfam's summary of the family: Transfer RNA (tRNA) molecules are approximately 80 nucleotides in length. Lineage: Bacteria; Pseudomonadati; Pseudomonadota; Alphaproteobacteria; Rhodospirillales; Rhodospirillaceae. RNAcentral also lists the same sequence under 5 other names. The record is from RNAcentral.
GCCCAGGUAGCUCAGUUGGUAGAGCACGCGACUGAAAAUCGCGGUGUCGGUGGUUCGAUUCCGCCCCUGGGCACCA